Molecule: non-coding RNA, 30 nt
Filed under: Homo sapiens (human)
Lineage: Eukaryota; Metazoa; Chordata; Mammalia; Primates; Hominidae
Source: RNAcentral
UUCCUCGAUGACCCAUGGUAAGACCCAUGA